This 672-nucleotide ribosomal RNA is filed under the name Klebsiella pneumoniae. RNAcentral describes it as "partial 23S ribosomal RNA". It matches the Rfam family "Bacterial large subunit ribosomal RNA", at positions 152 to 867 of the family's 2925-position model. Lineage: Bacteria; Pseudomonadati; Pseudomonadota; Gammaproteobacteria; Enterobacterales; Enterobacteriaceae. The record is from RNAcentral.
CGUUAACUGAAUACAUAGGUUAACGAGGCGAACCGGGGGAACUGAAACAUCUAAGUACCCCGAGGAAAAGAAAUCAACCGAGAUUCCCCCAGUAGCGGCGAGCGAACGGGGAGCAGCCCAGAGUCUGAAUCAGCUUGUGUGUUAGUGGAACGGUCUGGAAAGUCCGACGGUACAGGGUGAUAGUCCCGUACACCAAAAUGCACAGGCUGUGAACUCGAAGAGUAGGGCGGGACACGUGGUAUCCUGUCUGAAUAUGGGGGGACCAUCCUCCAAGGCUAAAUACUCCUGACUGACCGAUAGUGAACCAGUACCGUGAGGGAAAGGCGAAAAGAACCCCGGCGAGGGGAGUGAAAAAGAACCUGAAACCGUGUACGUACAAGCAGUGGGAGCACCUUCGGGUGUGACUGCGUACCUUUUGUAUAAUGGGUCAGCGACUUAUAUUCUGUAGCAAGGUUAACCGUAUAGGGGAGCCGCAGGGAAACCGAGUCUUAACUGGGCGUUAAGUUGCAGGGUAUAGACCCGAAACCCGGUGAUCUAGCCAUGGGCAGGUUGAAGGUUGGGUAACACUAACUGGAGGACCGAACCGACUAAUGUUGAAAAAUUAGCGGAUGACUUGUGGCUGGGGGUGAAAGGCCAAUCAAACCGGGAGAUAGCUGGUUCUCCCCGAAAGCU